This 70-nucleotide transfer RNA is filed under the name human gut metagenome. It matches the Rfam family "tRNA". Rfam says of the family: Transfer RNA (tRNA) molecules are approximately 80 nucleotides in length. The record is from RNAcentral.
CGGAAAUAGCUCAGUUGGUAGAGCACAACCUUGCCAAGGUUGGGGUCGCGGGUUCGAGUCCCGUUUUUCG